GCUCCGUUGGUGAACCAGCGGAGGGAUCAUUACCGAGUUUACAACUCCCAAACCCAAUGUGAACGUUACCAAACUGUUGCCUCGGCGGGGUCACGCCCCGGGUGCGUCGCAGCCCCGGAACCAGGCGCCCGCCGGAGGAACUAACCAAACUCUUUCUGUAGUCCCCUCGCGGACGUUAUUUCUUGCAGCUCUGAGCAAAAAUUCAAAAUGAAUCAAAACUUUCAACAACGGAUCUCUUGGUUCUG
This 245-nucleotide unclassified non-coding RNA is filed under the name plant metagenome. Its description in RNAcentral is "partial contains small subunit ribosomal RNA, internal transcribed spacer 1, and 5.8S ribosomal RNA". The record is from RNAcentral.